Lepidothrix coronata (blue-crowned manakin) is the source of this 1474-nucleotide long non-coding RNA. RefSeq lists it as uncharacterized. The transcript has 4 exons. Lineage: Eukaryota; Metazoa; Chordata; Aves; Passeriformes; Pipridae. The record is from RefSeq and is a predicted model, not a curated record.
UUGGGGGGUUGGGAGCUCGCGCUGAGUGCUCGGGCUUGCAAGUGGCAAUAUUUUCUAAUUUGCCCUUGCAAUGCAGGUAACUGGGAAGGUUGAAGAGGCGCUUCCCAUUAUCCACAAACAGGAUGACAAUGACAGUAAUUCUGGAAAAAAGUGCAGGUGCAAAGUCUGAAAUGAAAACAGAGCUGACACCAAGUUAGAAUCAUCAAGGCUGGAAAAGAACCAAGUUCAUCUAGACCAACCUUUGGCCACCAUGUUAACUAAACCAUAGCACUAAGUGCUAUAUCACUUCUCUGGACAGCCAGUUUGAAUGCUUUUUAACCCUUUUAGUCAAUAUAUACUUCCUGGUGAAGAAUUCACCUUCAGUAUCCUUCACCCAGGAUCUCAAAAGUAUCUUAUUUCCCCAAGGCUCACAACAUCUUGUGUGGUACUAUUCCAUUUUAUAGAAGGGUAAACAUAUGCUGGCAACAUGACCAGCAAAGGCACAGAGGACAGUGAACUUCUCUAGCCCUUACACACAGCCCAAGCUGCAGCAAAGCCACCCUGUGCACUGUGCGGACAUGUUACCUGAAGUCAGGUGGGAGACCUUUUCUGGGGAGAGAGGCUUUUCUGGGAGAAGUACUUGCUCUUCUCGUUGUUAUCUGUUCUACUUUGACUCCUUCCCUGUCCCGAUUUGUACCAAGUUGGGGCCAGCACUGAGCACAGUGCCUGCAAAUGGAUUCUGGUCUGCCUGCUUUAAUAUGGCUUUUCAUUGCCUGGGGGAGAUAGAUCCUAGCUUUUAUUCAGAUCCCGGAUAAUCCUGUGAUGCAGAAAGUGAGUGGGCAAAACUGGGAAUGAAAGCCAACGCAUGCCAAUGCUCAGGCCGUUUAUCAUCUGUCUUACAGCAAAGGACAAAAGUGGAGGUAGCGGAUGAAAAAUGAGGAGGGAGCCAAAGUAAACAACUUUAGAGAGGUAGGAGGUGCAUGAAAAGAGAACGGAUCAAUAGCUGCAAUGCCAGGUCAGGCUGACCCAGGGGAAAGUGCUCUCAAGGGACCAUACCCAGAGAAUGCAGAGGUCCAAAACCAGGCCCCACCAUAAUAACAGCCUCAUCAACUUUCAAAGGACAAGAGACUUUUCAGAGUCCUCUAAGGGACCGACCCUCCAUGCAGAGCUGAUUGCAUGAAGUUGCUUGUGAUGCAGACUGCCCGCCCAUCCGUGUUCUUACCAACAGGUAGGUCCAUCAGCUGUCCAAGAGGAGUGGACUAGCAAUGAGAUAAGAAAUUGUUUUGCUCCCAUUGUCAUCAUUAACAGGCUUCUGUUAGACUUUCUUUGUUGAGGAAACGUAAUUAUUGUUAGCACUGUGAAGAAUACUGACUGGGCAAAACUGACUGGCGCUGAAGUCACAUUUAUUGACUUCUCUGACAGAGUCUUUACAGGAGCUUGACAUCAGGCCCAAUUUGUUUCUAAGUGUCCCCAAAAUUGGUAUGCUCGAUCAAUC